UAAGGAAAUUGGCAAACCAGAUGAAAGUCUGGGACGCAAAGCUACAGGGCCUUUAAAAUGGCAGCCAGUUGCAUAA
Clostridiales bacterium 36_14 is the source of this 76-nucleotide non-coding RNA. The record is from Rfam. NCBI's taxonomy places the organism in Bacteria, Bacillati, Bacillota, Clostridia, Eubacteriales.